CCUACGGGAGGCAGCAGUAGGGAAUAUUGCUCAAUGGGGGAAACCCUGAAGCAGCAACGCCGCGUGGAGGAUGAAGGUUUUCGGAUUGUAAACUCCUUUUGUUAGAGAAGAUAAUGACGGUAUCUAACGAAUAAGCACCGGCUAACUCCGUGCCAGCAGCCGCGGUAAUACGGAGGGUGCAAGCGUUACUCGGAAUCACUGGGCGUAAAGAGCGCGUAGGCGGGAUAGCAAGUCAGAUGUGAAAUCCUAUGGCUUAACCAUAGAACUGCAUUUGAAACUGUUAUUCUAGAGUAUGGGAGAGGUGAGUGGAAUUCGUGGUGUAGGGGUGAAAUGCGUAGAGAUUAGGAGGAAUACUCGUUGCGAAGGCGAUCUUCUAGAACGUAACUGACGCUGAUGCGCGAAAGCGUGGGGAGCAAACAGGAUUAGAUACCCGUGUAGUC
This 440-nucleotide ribosomal RNA is filed under the name uncultured bacterium. RNAcentral describes it as "partial 16S ribosomal RNA". It matches the Rfam family "Bacterial small subunit ribosomal RNA", at positions 338 to 795 of the family's 1533-position model. The record is from RNAcentral.